Non-coding RNA from Flammula alnicola, 85 nucleotides. The record is from the annotation of a GenBank genome assembly. Lineage: Eukaryota; Fungi; Basidiomycota; Agaricomycetes; Agaricales; Strophariaceae.
GUCUCGAUAGCUAAGUGGUAUAGCAUGCGAUUGCAGUGGGAAACCAAAUAUCGCAGGGUCCGGUGUUCGAACCACCGUCGGGACU